This 799-nucleotide ribosomal RNA is filed under the name Escherichia coli. RNAcentral describes it as "bacterial LSU rRNA". It matches the Rfam family "Bacterial large subunit ribosomal RNA", at positions 2144 to 2925 of the family's 2925-position model. The record is from RNAcentral. Lineage: Bacteria; Pseudomonadati; Pseudomonadota; Gammaproteobacteria; Enterobacterales; Enterobacteriaceae.
UAGGUGGGAGGCUUUGAAGUGUGGACGCCAGUCUGCAUGGAGCCGACCUUGAAAUACCACCCUUUAAUGUUUGAUGUUCUAACGUUGACCCGUAAUCCGGGUUGCGGACAGUGUCUGGUGGGUAGUUUGACUGGGGCGGUCUCCUCCUAAAGAGUAACGGAGGAGCACGAAGGUUGGCUAAUCCUGGUCGGACAUCAGGAGGUUAGUGCAAUGGCAUAAGCCAGCUUGACUGCGAGCGUGACGGCGCGAGCAGGUGCGAAAGCAGGUCAUAGUGAUCCGGUGGUUCUGAAUGGAAGGGCCAUCGCUCAACGGAUAAAAGGUACUCCGGGGAUAACAGGCUGAUACCGCCCAAGAGUUCAUAUCGACGGCGGUGUUUGGCACCUCGAUGUCGGCUCAUCACAUCCUGGGGCUGAAGUAGGUCCCAAGGGUAUGGCUGUUCGCCAUUUAAAGUGGUACGCGAGCUGGGUUUAGAACGUCGUGAGACAGUUCGGUCCCUAUCUGCCGUGGGCGCUGGAGAACUGAGGGGGGCUGCUCCUAGUACGAGAGGACCGGAGUGGACGCAUCACUGGUGUUCGGGUUGUCAUGCCAAUGGCACUGCCCGGUAGCUAAAUGCGGAAGAGAUAAGUGCUGAAAGCAUCUAAGCACGAAACUUGCCCCGAGAUGAGUUCUCCCUGACCCUUUAAGGGUCCUGAAGGAACGUUGAAGACGACGACGUUGAUAGGCCGGGUGUGUAAGCGCAGCGAUGCGUUGAGCUAACCGGUACUAAUGAACCGUGAGGCUUAACCUUACAACGCCGAAG